Molecule: ribosomal RNA, 924 nt
Filed under: Triticum aestivum (bread wheat)
Lineage: Eukaryota; Viridiplantae; Streptophyta; Magnoliopsida; Poales; Poaceae
Description: partial small subunit ribosomal RNA
Source: RNAcentral
AUGGCCAACGCCGCGGUCGACCCCGAGAGCAAAAGGGCGCGGUUGACUUCGUCCAUGUCGUCCGUGGACACCAUCCUCCGUCUCCCGCCCUCGCUGCCGUCGACGUCCGCGACGCGCGCCCCGGCGGGCCACCCGCUGGAGGAGCCGCCCGCGCGUCGGAGGCCGGCGCGGAGAUCCAAGCCCGUGAGGAUUUUCCAGAGCAUGUUCCGGUCUCUGCCGGUGCUGACGGUGCCGCGCUGCGGGGGGAUUCUGACGGCAGCUCCGACCGCCGCGUCAGCGUCGGCGUCGCCGGCGCGGUCGGACUCCCUCCUGUCGCAAAUCAUCUCGCCCUCGACCACGUUGAAUGGCGGCGGAGGCGUCGGUGCGUCGUCCCGGCGGCACAUGACUGGCACGCUCUUCGGCUGCCGCGAGGGCCGCGUGUCGCUCGCGCUGCAGGAGAACCCGCGGUGCCGCCCGGCGCUCGUGGUGGAGCUGGCGCUCCCGACGCACACCCUGCUCCGCGAGCUCGGCGGCACGGCCGGUACGCGCAUCGUGCUGGAGGCCGAGAAGAAGCACGUGGAGGAGCACAGCAGCUCCGGCGGCGGCGAACACGGCGACGCCGCGGCGAGGCAGCACGACGACGACGGGUGGCUGCUCCAUGAGCCGAUCUGGACCAUGUUCUGCAACGGCAAGAGGGUGGGCUACGCGGUGCGGCGGGAGCCGACGGACGGCGACAUCGCGGUGCUGGAGACGCUCUGGGCCGUGUCCAUGGGCGGCGGCGUGCUCCCCGGGAGGGCAGGCUCGGCCGCGUCUGACGGGGAGCUGGCGUACAUGCGGGGUUGCUUCGAUAACAUCAUCGGGUCCGAGGACUCUGAGUCGCUGUACAUGCUCGGGCCGCAUGGCGGCGAUAGCCCGGAGCUCGCCGUCUUCUUCGUUAGGCUUUGA